AGGAACGUACCCCAAAGUGAGGGAUAACUGCUCGAAAGAGUAGCUAAUACCGCAUGUGCUCUUCGGAGUAAAGCUUCGGCGCUUUGGGAACGGCCCGCGCAUGAUUAGCUUGUUGGUGAGGUAAUAGCUCACCAAGGCGACGAUCAUUAGCUGGUCUGAGAGGAUGAUCAGCCAGACUGGGACUGAGACACGGCCCAGACUCCUACGGGAGGCAGCAGUAGGGAAUUUUCCACAAUGGGCGAAAGCCUGAUGGAGCAACGCCGCGUGCAGGAUGAAUGCCUUCGGGUUGUAAACUGCUUUUAUAUGUGACGAUUAUGACGGUAGCAUAUGAAUAAGGAUCGGCUAACUCCGUGCCAGCAGCCGCGGUCAUACGGAGGAUCCAAGCGUUAUCCGGAAUUACUGGGCGUAAAGAGUUGCGUAGGUGGCAUAGUAAGUUGGUAGUGAAAUGAUGUGGCUCAACCACAUGUCCAUUACCAAAACUGCUAAGCUAGAGGAUGAGAGAGGUCACUGGAAUUCCCUGUGUAGGAGUGAAAUCCGUAGAUAUAGGGAGGAACACCGAUGGCGUAGGCAGGUGACUGGCUCAUUUCUGACACUAAGGCACGAAAGCGUGGGUAGCAAACGGGAUUAGAUACCCCGGUAGUCCACGCCGUAAACGAUGGAUGCUAGCUGUAAGGAGUAUCGACCCUUCUUGUAGCGAAGCUAACGCGUUAAGCAUCCCGCCUGUGGAGUACGAGCGCAAGCUUAAAACAUAAAGGAAUUGACGGGGACCCGCACAAGCGGUGGAGCGUGUUGUUUAAUUCGAUGGUAAGCGAAGAACCUUACCCAGGCUUGACAUCC
This 837-nucleotide ribosomal RNA is filed under the name uncultured bacterium. RNAcentral describes it as "bacterial SSU rRNA". It matches the Rfam family "Bacterial small subunit ribosomal RNA", at positions 120 to 989 of the family's 1533-position model. The record is from RNAcentral.